CCCUAGCCCUGAUAGCAGAGGAAAUCCUUUUAUUCGCCUCAGCGAAUAAAAGAUUGUAGCGGAUAGCAGGGCACGAG
This 77-nucleotide small RNA is filed under the name Flavobacterium fryxellicola. Its description in RNAcentral is "Flavo-1 RNA". It matches the Rfam family "Flavo-1 RNA". The record is from RNAcentral. Lineage: Bacteria; Pseudomonadati; Bacteroidota; Flavobacteriia; Flavobacteriales; Flavobacteriaceae.